This 497-nucleotide ribosomal RNA is filed under the name uncultured bacterium. Its description in RNAcentral is "partial 16S ribosomal RNA". It matches the Rfam family "Bacterial small subunit ribosomal RNA", at positions 28 to 507 of the family's 1533-position model. The record is from RNAcentral.
GAUGAACGCUGGCGGCGUGCCUAAUACAUGCAAGUCGAGCGAACGGACGAUAAGCUUGCUUUUUUGAUGUUAGCGGCGGACGGGCGAGUAACACGUGGAUAACCUACCUAUAAUACUGGGAUAAUUUCGGGAAACCGGUGCUAAUACCGGAUAAUAUUUUGAACCGCAUGGUUCAAAAGUGAAAGACGGUCUUGCUGUCACUUAUAGAUGGAUCCGCGCUGCAUUAGCUAGUUGGUAAGGUAACGGCUUACCAAGGCAACGAUGCAUAGCCGACCUGAGAGGGUGAUCGGCCACACUGGAACUGAGACACGGUCCAGACUCCUACGGGAGGCAGCAGUAGGGAAUCUUCCGCAAUGGGCGAAAGCCUGACGGAGCAACGCCGCGUGAGUGAUGAAGGUCUUCGGAUCGUAAAACUCUGUUAUUAGGGAAGAACAUAUGUGUAAGUAACUGUGCACAUCUUGACGGUACCUAAUCAGAAAGCCACGGCUAACUACGUG